This 109-nucleotide ribosomal RNA is filed under the name Lactiplantibacillus plantarum. RNAcentral's name for it is "Lactobacillus plantarum partial 23S ribosomal RNA". It matches the Rfam family "Bacterial large subunit ribosomal RNA", at positions 1 to 108 of the family's 2925-position model. The record is from RNAcentral. Lineage: Bacteria; Bacillati; Bacillota; Bacilli; Lactobacillales; Lactobacillaceae.
GGUUAAGUUAACAAGGGCGCAUGGUGAAUGCCUUGGCACUAGGAGCCGAUGAAGGACGGGACUAACACCGAUAGUGCUUCGGGGAGCUGUACGUAAGCUAUGAUCCGUG